CCCUAGCCCUGAUGGGAACGGCAUCCUUUCCUGUCCUUCUUUAGGACAGGAAAGAUAUAGUGGACAGCAGGAAAUAGC
Molecule: small RNA, 78 nt
Filed under: Flavobacterium sp. 5
Lineage: Bacteria; Pseudomonadati; Bacteroidota; Flavobacteriia; Flavobacteriales; Flavobacteriaceae
Description: Flavo-1 RNA
Rfam family: Flavo-1 RNA
Source: RNAcentral